This 239-nucleotide unclassified non-coding RNA is filed under the name Glomeraceae sp. Its description in RNAcentral is "partial contains 5.8S ribosomal RNA and internal transcribed spacer 2". The stretch from base 1 to 71 matches the Rfam family "5.8S ribosomal RNA", at positions 84 to 154 of the family's 154-position model. Lineage: Eukaryota; Fungi; Glomeromycota; Glomeromycetes; Glomerales; Glomeraceae. The record is from RNAcentral.
GUGAAUCAUCGAAUUUUUGAACGCAAAUUGCGCUUCCUAGCAUCCCGGGAAGUAUGCCUGUUUGAGGGUCAGUAUUAACAAAAAAAUCGGUUUGGUUGCAAAUUGUGACGUUUUCGGAGUUUGGGUAAUCUUAACUUUUUUGGUUAAGGGGCUUAAAAGUGAGCUUUUCUGCGUAUUUUUAGACUUACAUAAAUUUUUUUUUAUUAGUUUAUUCUUAAGGCAAAAAUUCUAUUCGAUAG